UACAGAGGGUGCAAACGUUGUUCGGAAUUACUGGGCGUAAAGCGCGUGUAGGCGGCUAUGCAAGUCGGGCGUGAAAUCCCACGGCUCAACCGUGGAAGUGCACCCGAAACUGCGUAGCUAGAGUCCUGGAGAGGAAGGUGGAAUGCUUGGUGUGGAGGUGAAAUUCGUAGAUAUCAAGCGGAACACCGGUGGCGAAGGCGGCCUUCUGGACAGUGACUGACGCUGAGACGCGAAAGCGUGGGGAGCAAACAGG
Molecule: ribosomal RNA, 253 nt
Filed under: uncultured bacterium
Lineage: Bacteria
Description: partial 16S ribosomal RNA
Rfam family: Bacterial small subunit ribosomal RNA
Source: RNAcentral